AACGAACGCUGGCGGCAGGCCUAACACAUGCAAGUCGAGCGCGCCUUCGGGUGAGCGGCGGACGGGUGAGUAACGCGUGGGAAUAUGCCCUUCUCUACGGAAUAGUCCUGGGAAACUGGGGGUAAUACCGUAUACGCCCUUUGGGGGAAAGAUUUAUCGGGGAAGGAUUAGCCCGCGUUGGAUUAGGUAGUUGGUGGGGUAAUGGCCUACCAAGCCGACGAUCCAUAGCUGGUUUGAGAGGAUGAUCAGCCACACUGGGACUGAGACACGGCCCAGACUCCUACGGGAAGCAGCAGUGGGGAAUCUUAGACAAUGGGGGCAACCCUGAUCUAGCCAUGCCGCGUGAGUGAUGAAGGCCUUAGGGUUGUAAAGCUCUUUCAGCUGGGAAGAUAAUGACGGUACCAGCAGAAGAAGCCCCGGCUAACUCCGUG
RNAcentral lists this ribosomal RNA (431 nucleotides) under uncultured bacterium. Its description in RNAcentral is "partial 16S ribosomal RNA". It matches the Rfam family "Bacterial small subunit ribosomal RNA", at positions 29 to 507 of the family's 1533-position model. The record is from RNAcentral.